GUGGGCGUAGCUCAGUUGGUAGAGCACGGGAUUGUGACUCCCGUUGUCGUGGGUUCGAUCCCCAUCGUCCAC
Molecule: transfer RNA, 72 nt
Filed under: Pseudomonas fluorescens
Lineage: Bacteria; Pseudomonadati; Pseudomonadota; Gammaproteobacteria; Pseudomonadales; Pseudomonadaceae
Also listed under: 5 other names
Description: tRNA-His
Rfam family: tRNA
About the family: Transfer RNA (tRNA) molecules are approximately 80 nucleotides in length.
Source: RNAcentral